GGCCAAGACAUGAGCUUCUCCCACUGAGCGUUAUUGAUGCUGAACUGAGUGGUCCAGUGCUGUCCUCCGGUGUUUCCCCUCCCCUUCAAUUUUCUGUCCCUGUGUCUGUCACCUGGAAUCUGAGCAGCCAUGACGAAGUCUUACAUUUUCAACUGGCAGAAGCACCUGCCUGAGUUCAUGCAGGAAGGUGCCUCCUUCGACAGGUUUG
This is a long non-coding RNA of Notothenia coriiceps (black rockcod), 208 nucleotides long. RefSeq lists it as uncharacterized. Lineage: Eukaryota; Metazoa; Chordata; Actinopteri; Perciformes; Nototheniidae. The transcript has 3 exons. The record is from RefSeq and is a predicted model, not a curated record.